GCCCUUCGGGGGGAAAAAUUUAUCGGCAAAGGAUCGGCACCGCGUUGGAUUAGCUAGAUGGUGAGGUAAAAGACUCACCGAGGCGACGAUCCCAUAGCUGGUCUGAGAGGAUGAUCAAGCCACACUGGGACUGAGACACGGCUCAGACUCCUAACGGGAGGCAACAGUGGGGAAUAUUGGACAAUGGGCGCAAGCUUGAUCCAGCCAUGCCGCGUGAGUGAUGAAGGCCCUAGGGUUGUAAAGCUCUUUCACCGGUGAAGAUAAAGACGGUAACCGGAGAAGAAGCCCCGGCUAACUUCGUGCCAGCAGCCGCGGUAAUACGAAGGGGGCUAGCGUUGUUCGGAUUUACUGGGCGUAAAGCGCACGUAGGCGGACUUUUAAGUCAGGGGUGAAAUCCCGGGGCUCAACCCCGGAACUGCCUUUGAUACUGGAAGUCUUGAGUAUGGUAGAGGUGAGUGGAAUUCCGAGUGUAGAGGUGAAAAUCGUAGAUAUUCGGAGGAACACCAGUGGCGAAGGCGGCUCACUGGACCAUUACUGACGCUGAGGUGCGAAAGCGUGGGGAGCAAAACAGGAUUAGAUACCCAGGUAGUCCACGCCGUAAACGAUAAAAUUAGCUGUUCGGGAGUUUACUCUUCGGGGGGCAACUAACGCAUUAAAAAUAACCCCUGGGAUAC
Molecule: ribosomal RNA, 674 nt
Filed under: Ochrobactrum sp. R108
Lineage: Bacteria; Pseudomonadati; Pseudomonadota; Alphaproteobacteria; Hyphomicrobiales; Brucellaceae
Description: bacterial SSU rRNA
Rfam family: Bacterial small subunit ribosomal RNA
Source: RNAcentral